UAUUCUUUAACAAAAAUAAAAAGCAAAUAUAAUAUAAGAAUGGAGCCAAGCACCAUUUUGAGAUAUGUUGUGACAUUCCUGACACUUCAAUAUUGUUGGAGUCAGACACUGACUGAGUCUGAACCCGUUGUCAUUAAACCUGGAGGAUCUCAUAAACUGACCUGUACUGCCUCUGGCUUUGACUUUAGUAGCUCCUGGAUGGCUUGGAUCAGACAAGCUUCUGGAAAAGGCCUGGAUUUUGUUGCUAUCAUUGAGUAUGAUAGUGAUAGAAAGUUUUAUUCCAGUGCUGUUCAAGGAAGGUUCACCAUCUCCAGAGACAACAGUAAGAAUCAGUUAUAUCUGGACAUGGGCAGCUUAAGGACUGAUGACACUGCUGUGUAUUACUGUGCUCGAAGCACACUGUGACACAAGAGGCUAUGGCCCUGAACAAAAACCUGUAUGCUUGGUUUGACUGACUUAAUGAUGAGAACCUGACUUUUGACAUUGCAUUUUUUAGACUAACUGUACGUUCAGACAUAAUAAUAAAAAAAAAAUAAAAAAAAAAAACUUAAUUAAAA
Non-coding RNA from Myxocyprinus asiaticus (Chinese sucker), 557 nucleotides. The record is from the annotation of a RefSeq genome assembly. Lineage: Eukaryota; Metazoa; Chordata; Actinopteri; Cypriniformes; Catostomidae.